AUUUCAGAGUAUUUCCUCAUACUAAAGUAAAAAGGAAGUAACAAUCUAGUAAACCCUGUGGCCUGUACCCUUAGGCAUGGUGCCUGACACUUGAUUCCAAAAUGGUCUUGCUUCCUGCCAUUUUGUCCAAGGAUUUUGGUUGCCGUGGCUGACUACGUUAGGACAGUACUAUUUCUGGAAUAUUGUCAAGCCUGCCUUAAGUGGACCUUUAAUGCAGUGGUGGGUGAACUUACCAAAUCAGCAGGUAGUACGUCAUUGAACAUACAGAACAGGUUACAUAAACUUUUUUUUUUUUUUUUGAGAUGGAGUCCCACUCUGUUGCCAGGCUGGAGUGCAGUGGUGCGAUCUCAGUUCACUGCAACCUCCACCUCCCAGGUUCAAGCGGUUCUCCUGCCUCAGCCUCCCGAGUAGUUGGGACUACAGGUGCAUGCCACCACAUCGAGCUAAUAAUUGUAUUUUUAGUAGAGAUGGGGUUUCACCAUGUUGGCCAGGAGGACCAUUUUAGCCCAGGAGUUUUGAGACUAGUCUGGCCAACAUAGCAAGACUCCAUCUCUAAAAAAAAUUUUUUUUUUUUAAUUAGCCAGGUGUGGAGUAUGCAUGUAGUCCCAGCUACUCCAGAGGCUAAGGCGGGAGGAUUGCUUGAGCCCAGGAGUUCAAGGCUGCAGUGAGCUAUGGUCAUGCCACUGCACUCCAGUCUGGCAGGAGAGUGGGACCCUGUCUCAACAAAAAAUAAAAUAAAAAUAACAAUAUUUAUUGAAAUCUGUAUGUGAGACAGCUUGAUCUGGGCUUGAAUUAUUUUUUUUUCUAACUUGGUACAGAGAUUGUUGGAAAAUAGCUAAUCCUCAUCCACCUCAAAAAUGUCAGUGCUUGUUAGCUAAUUCAGAAGAAUUGUAAGAGCUCUGUAUGUUAGCUCAGAUCUGUUAGAAAUGUCAGGUGUUUGAUUGGAUUGGGUUAUCCAGAUUGGUUGAAUUUAGAAAGUAGCUUCUGUGGUUUUGCAGUGAGAAUGCAACUUUAUAUUUCUAAUGUGGCUUGUUAAGACUUUGGGAUUUCACCAAAAUAGUAAAAUUUUAAAACUUUUGGGCAGAGCACAGAGGAUUUUUAGGGCAGUGAAACUAAUAUGUAUGAUACUAUAAUGGUGGAUAUAUGUCAUUAUAAUUUUUCCAAACCCACAGAAUGUAUACCACCAAGAGUGAACCCUCAUGUAAACUAUGGACUUGGGUAAUAAUGCUGUGUCAGUGUGGGUUCAUCAGUUGUCACAAAUGUACCGCUCUGGUGGGAGAUGUUGAUAAGGGAGAAGCUAGGCAUGUGUGCAGGUAGGGGGUAAAUGGGAAAUCUCUAGCUUUCCCUUAAUUUUUUUUAUGAACCUAAAACUGCUCUAAAAAUGCCUUUGGGAAAAACUUUGGGGACCAACAUAGGUGCCAACUUAUUUUACUAGGUAUAAGGAUGUUAAAAUUAUAUGAUUCAGUAUCACCACCAUUUUAUAAAACAUUUUAAUAUCAAAACCUCAGACAAUGGCAACCUUACACUGACAAUAAAGAAAAACUUUAAACAUUAAAAACAAUCCAAAUGCAGGAACAGGUACACCAUAAAAUUUUAUUUCACAGUGUUAUGCUACUGUUUAUUGAUAUAGGUUUGUCAGUUUGGAGAUCUUAGGAUUGCAAAAUAGUAACAUUUUAUAAAUUUUGGUGCCACCCAAAAUGGAGUCUGAAUGGCCAUUUCUUUCUGGUAUUUUUUUUUUUUUAAUGUCAGUCAUUGUUGAAGAGCUAUUUUCAACUACGUAUGUGAAAAUGGAAGCAACUCUUCUGAUGCUACUGUAAUCAAUUCAGAAUAUUCUGGGGAAGAACAGCAGCCCCAUCUCCAGAAAGGGCUAAAAUGAACAAUGAUAGGCCAAGUGACCAGUUAAUAAGCACCACAGAGAAGGGCAAUGGAAUAUAUAGCUGCUUUCAGCCAGGUCUGCAAUGUGGGACCUUGAUCCUGAGUGCCAACCCUAAAGCAUCCUGGGAGUUAGUCGGCAACUGCCAGGAGAAGGCCUACCAGUCAGUGGACAAGGCUUUGGCUUAGUUAGUAUAUGUGUGCUUCUGCCACAGCAGAACACAACUCACUAUACCUUGGGUACUGGUUGAUUCUUAGAUUUUACAGGCUGAACAAAUGACUGAAAUAAUUUCCUGAAUGAAGAACCAAAAUGUGGUUCUGUAAGCACUGAGUGCGUUGAUAUAGAUGUUGAUAGUGAUACACUUGGAUCCCCAAAGACACAGGGUCUUUGAGCUGUAUUAUUAUUAAUUUAUUUUUUAGAGGGAGUUUUGCUCUUGUCACCCAGUCUGGACUGCAAUGGCACAAUCUUGGCUCACUGCAACCUCCACCUCCCAGGUUCAAGUGAUUCUCCUGUCUCAGCCUCCCAAGCACCUGGGAUUACAGGCACCCACCACCAUGCCCAGCUAAUUUUUGUAUUUUUGGUAGAGAGCCGUGUUGGCCAGGCUGGUCUUGGAACUCGUGACCUCAGGUGAUCCCCCUGCCUCAGCCUCCCAAAGUGCUGGGAUUACAGGCUUAAGCCACCGCGCCCGGCCAUUUGAGCUGUAUUAAAUCAAGUUAGACAACUGGGAAAAGAUGAAGAGAGAAAAAUUAAAGUUAUUUAUAGUGCAAACCCAAAUGAGAUUUCUCUGUCGCUAAAUUCACAAGAAAGUAAGGAAUAUUAUUCAAGAUUGCAAAUUCUUUCGCUAGAUAUACACUUGCUCAGAGUCUAAGGAUUUUCUUCAUAAACAACCACAGUGAGUAUUCUGUUCCUAAAACAAGCCUUUUUAAUCCAGUUUGGUGGAGGCAGCAGAGUGGGAUGGAAAGAGUAAUCAUCUGUGAUCCAGGAAGUCUGCUUUAUAAUUACCAAGCUGACCUUGAACAAAUCACUCUCUUGUCCCUAGUUUCUUUUGUUGUUGUUUUGUUUUUGUUUUUGAGAUGGAGUUUUGCUCUUGUUGCCCAAGCUGGAGUGCAAUUGCAUGAUCUCAGCUCACCGCAACCUCCACCUCCCAGGUUCAAGCAAUUCUCCUGCCCCAGCCUCCCGAGUAGCUGGGAUUACAGGCAUGCGCCACCACACCCAGCUAAUUCUGUAUUUUUAGUAGAGACAGGGUUUCUCCAUGUUGGUCAGGCUGGUCUCAAACUCCUGACCUCAGAUGAUCCGCCUGCCUCGGCCUCCCAAAGUGCUGGGAUUACAGGCUUGAGCCACCAUGCCCGGCCGUCCCCAGUUUCUUUAUAAAAUAAAAUGGUCCUUUCUGACUUUGAACAUGUUAUGACGAGUUCAGUAAAUCAGAUCAGGGUAAGUGUUUCAGAAGGUUCAAACUAUUCCUCCCAAGGCAGUUUUGGUGACCUCAAACAGGCUAUGACUAAAAACACCUCCAAAUACAGUUGACCCUUGAACAACAUGGGUUUGAACUGUGUAAAUCCACUUAUACACAGAUUUUUUUCAAUAAAUACAUUGGAAGUUUUUUUUUUUGGAGUUUUUUGACAAUUUGAAAAAACACAAACUGCGUUGCCUAGAAAUAUUUUUAAACAUUUUAAAAGGUAUGAAUGCAUAAAAUAUAUGUAUAUACUAGUCUAUUUUAUCAUUUGCUACUACAAAAUAUGCACAAAUCUAUUAUAAAAAGCUAAAUUUUCUCAAAAUUUACACACAUAUACAGUACAUGGUGCCAUUCACAGUCCAGAGAAAUGUAAACAAAUGUAAAGAUGCAAGGUUAAAUCAUAGCCACAUAAAACCAACUGGAGUACGUACUGUACUGCAAUCAUUUUGUAGCUGCCUCCUACUGCUGCGGCAGUGCGCGCAGAUGUUGUGAAUAUCCACUCAAAACGCUAUGUGAUGCUAAUCAUCUCUGCAUGAGCAGUUCAACUCUCCAGUAAAUUUCAUGUGGCAGAAAAAAGUACUCUCUCGAGAUUCUUAAGUAUUUUUCAUCAUGUUUAGUGCACCAUAAACCUCAUAUAAUACCAUGGGACCCAUAUGAAGUGCCACUAGUGAUGCUGGAAGUGUUCUCAAGAAGUAGAAGUCAUGACAUUACAAGAAAAAGCUGAAUUGCUUGAUAUGUAUCAAAGAUUGAGGUCUGUGGCUGUGGAUGCCCCUCAUUUCAGUCCCAGGAUUCUUUCUGUAAACAGACAAUGUAAACUUAACGGAAUCAAUAAAUACAGUAAUGUAAAUGU
This 4176-nucleotide long non-coding RNA is filed under the name Homo sapiens (human). RNAcentral's name for it is "non-protein coding lnc-RAD1-1:1". Lineage: Eukaryota; Metazoa; Chordata; Mammalia; Primates; Hominidae. The record is from RNAcentral.